This 481-nucleotide ribosomal RNA is filed under the name uncultured bacterium. Its description in RNAcentral is "bacterial SSU rRNA". It matches the Rfam family "Bacterial small subunit ribosomal RNA", at positions 35 to 507 of the family's 1533-position model. The record is from RNAcentral.
GCUGGCGGCAGGCCUAACACAUGCAAGUCGAGCGGUAACAUUUCUAGCUUGCUAGAAGAUGACGAGCGGCGGACGGGUGAGUAACGCGUAGAAAUCUACCUAGUAGUGGGGGAUAGCCCAGAGAAAUUUGGAUUAAUACCGCAUACGCCCUACGGGGGAAAGCGGGGGAUCUUCGUACCUCGUGCUAUUAGAUGAGUCUGCGUCGGAUUAGCUUGUUGGUGAGGUAAUGGCUCACCAAGGCGACGAUCCGUAGCUGGUCUGAGAGGAUGACCAGCCACACUGGAACUGAGACACGGUCCAGACUCCUACGGGAGGCAGCAGUGGGGAAUAUUGCACAAUGGGCGCAAGCCUGAUGCAGCCAUGCCGCGUGUGUGAAGAAGGCCUUAGGGUUGUAAAGCACUUUCAGCAGUGAGGAAAGGGGUGUCGUUAAUAGCGCCAUCCUGUGACGUUAACUGCAGAAGAAGGACCGGCUAACUCCGUG